GCAACAGCAGCUUCUCAGACAUAAGGGCAAACAGUGAGAGAAGGGAAGACACUCUGAACAGAGGACUGUGCUCUCCCAGGAUGCCUGUGAAGUGGAUUUUUGCCCUGCUCCUGCUGCAGAUGAGUUGCUGCUUCAGAUCUGGUAACUGUGGGAAGGUGUUGGUGUGGCCGAUGGAGUACAGUCACUGGAUGAAUUUAAAGAUAAUACUGGAUGAACUUGUACAGAGGGGUCAUGAAGUGACUGUUCUGAGACCAUCAGCUUCCAUUUUGCUUGAUCCCGAAAAAUCGCCUGGCCUUAAAUUUGAAACUUUUUCUACAACUAUCAGUAAAGAUGAUCUGGAAAGUUUUUUCACAAAGAUUGUGAAUAUGUGGACUUAUGAGCUACCAAGAGAUACAUGUUUAUCAUUUUCUCCCUUGCUACAAAAUAUGUUUACAGAAUAUUCUGCUUAUUAUCAAAGUCUUUGUAAAGACACAGUUUCAAACAAACAUCUUAUGGCAAAACUGCAGAAAUCCAAGUUUGAUGUCCUGAUCUCAGAUGCGAUUGCUCCCUGUGGGGAACUGAUAGCUGAACUGCUCCAUAUUCCUUUUCUUUACAGUCUUCGUUGCACUCCAGGCUACACAAUGGAAAAGUACACUGGAGGAUUUGUGCUCCCUCCCUCUUAUGUACCUAUGAUUUUGUCAGGACUAGGUGGUCAAAUGACAUUCUUAGAGAGGGUGAAAAAUAUGAUAUGUAUGCUUUAUUUUGACUUUUGGUUCCAGACAUUUGAUGAAAAGAAAUGGGAUCAGUUCUACAGUGAAACUUUGGGAAGGCCCACCACCUUAGCUGAGACAGUCAGCAAAGCAGAAAUGUGGCUCAUUAGGUCCUACUGGGAUUUGGAAUUUCCUCACCCAACCUUACCAAAUGUUGACUAUGUUGGAGGACUCCACUGCAAACCUGCUAAACCCUUGCCUGAGGAAAUGGAAGACUUUGUCCAGAGCUCUGGAGAGCAUGGGGUUGUGCUGUUUUCUUUGGGGUCCAUGGUCAGUAACAUGACAGAGGAAAUGGCCAACACAGUUGCAUGGGCCCUUGCCCAGAUUCCACAAAAGGUGAGAUAAAGUCCCCUCAUUGGACUCCACUGUAUAAAAGUCGUUCAAAGUUCUGAUUACAGUGGGAACAGGGACAUGAACUGAUUGACAUGCUCUUUGAUCACUUUCCCCUGAGAGGAGAGCAUCCUUACCAGACCAUAGAGGAAGACAAUGCAGCCACUCCCGAUGAGAUCUGAUAGACUAGGAUCAGAAGGAAGAAGAGGAAGACCUCCCCUAUCAGUGGACUUGGGGAGAGGCAUGUGUAGAGAAGGGGGAGGGAAAUUGAGAAGGGAGGAAGGAGCGGUUUAUGGGGGGAUACAAAGUGAAUAAAGUGUAAUUGAUAAAAAUUAAAAUAAAAAAAUUGUUCCUUAAAAAAAUAAAUGACAAAACAUGUUCUUAUUACAAAAAUUACUGGUGAAAGGUAAAGUUUUAGGUAAGCUGUAAUUUACAUUACCCAAUUUAGAAACAGAUAUGCAUAACAAAUGUUACAAUGUAAUACAAGUUGUCCAGAAGUUGUUUUGACCUAGAAUAUCUCUUAUAUAAGCACUGUGAUCUCUGUGGGCACAUUCUGAAAUGCUGGUGUGAGAGGACCUUGCUCUUCAGAGUCACUAGUUACAUUUGUUGAUUAUUUAAACUCAAUGCAUACAUAAAAGUUUUGGUGGGAUUAUUCACAUUUAUUUCAUUUUCUAGACGAAUAAUAUUAUGCAGGUAUUGAAACUGUCUGAAAUGUAUCAUGGCUCUGCUCUGCAUCCUAAUUUUGAAGUAGGCUUGUUCAAUGUGUAGUUGAGAGGGCCAUUUAAAUAAUCAACUGUCAUUCAAAAGGCCCAGAGGUCUUUUCUGAAACAGAUGCUAGUACAGGCAUUACACAGCAAGCCUAUAGCCAACAUCAAACUAAACAGAGAGAAACUUAAAGCAAUCCCACUAAAAUCAGGGACAAGGUAAGGCUGUCCACUCUCUCCACAUUUCUUCAACAUAGUUCUUGAAGUCCUUGCUAGAGGAAUAAGACAAGUAAAGUGAUCAAGGGCAUACAAAUUGGAAAGGAAGACAUCAAAGUAUCAAUAUUUGCAGAUCAUAUGUUGGUAUACAUGAAUGACCCCAAAAAUUCUACCAGGGAACUCCUAUAGCAGAUAAACACCUUCAGCAAAGUGCAUGGAUCCAAAAUUAAUUUGAAAAAAAUAUCAGUAGCCCUCCUGUAUGCAAAAGAAAAAGGAGCUGAGAAAGAAUUAGGAAAAUAACGCCCUUCACAAUAACCACAAAGGACAUAAAGUACCUUGGUGUGACUCUAACUAAGCAAGUCAAAGACUUGUAUAUAAAAAAAAUUCCAAUCUCUGAAGAGAGAAAUACAAGAAGAUAUCAGAAGUUGGAAAGAUCUCCUAUGCUCAAGCUUGGCAUGAUUAACCAAGCAAAAAAAGAGACUGAUACUCCAACCAAGGACCAUGCAAGGAGAUAACCUAGAACACCUGCAAAGAUAUGGCCUGUGGCAGUUCAGUCUCCAAGUGUGUUAAUGAGUAAGGGGAACAGGGAUUGUCUGACAUGAACUCAGUGGCUGGCUUUUUGAUAACCUCCCCCUUAGAGGGUAGCAGCCUUACCAGGCCAUAGAGGAAGACAUUGCAGCCAGUCCUGAUGAGACCUGAAAGGCUAGCUAGGGUCAGAUGGAAGGGGAAGAGGACCUUCCCUACUAGUGGACUUGGAGAAGGGCAUAGGGGGAGAUGAGAGAGUAACCUGUGAUAGGAAGAAAAUGAGGGAGGGGGCUACAGCUGGGAUACAAGUGAAUAAACUGUAAUUAAUAUAAAAAAGUUCCCUUUUGAUUAACUUUAAAAAAAGAUAAUUAAAAAAAUGUUUCAGGGCUGCCUUGCCAAAUAUUUGUAGAAGAAAUGCAUAAAGGAAAGACAGAUGUGAGUACUGCUCUUAUAAUAAUCUCUGUGUAUCAUAAAAUAUGAAACACCCAGCUUUGCUUAUAACUAGAGAGAAUGAAAAUCGUAAGAUUCAAGAAAGGAAUAUGAAAAUAAGAAAGAGUCUAACAGAACCUGCUAUGAAAACAUUUUCAGUGUAGUGUGCUUCACUUCAUAAAGCACACUACAAAGUAAUUUUCUGGAGAUUAAAUUUAAAUCUUUGAACAUUUAUGAACAUAAUAAAUAUUCUAAUGGAAAAACUGUUGUAUAAUCAUCUACAUUAGUUUAUUUGCUGUGAUCCAGUACCCGUCACAUAGUAAGUCUAUGUUAGACAUGUGGACCAUUCUUCAUUUUACAAGAUUUGUCUACAAACAAUAGUGGUUAAACUAAAGUAAACCCAGUCCUACCCACUACACCUGACAGGACAGUGAAAACACCUUCCAAGUACAAUCUCAUGUUUUGAAGAAACGGAAGUCAAAAUACUCAUCCAUUUUCUUGGAGUGGUUCUUAAGAAUCACUAAGAAUUCUUCUUCUGCGAAUUCAUUCCUGAUAUCACCCUCUUUGUAAUUAUUUUAGAUAAAGAAUAUCUAGAGUGGUUUUGACUUGAGAGGUAAAUAAACCUAAUGGUCCUUUGAUGUGUGAGUAUCCACACAUACACAGGUCUAAGAAGCUAUAAUAUCAGUAGAAAGAAAUUCUCAGGUGACAUAGGGUUCUGUGUGAUUCGUAGACUGACUUCUUCCUUGGUGCUUAUGGUCUUUAUUUGGCCCAAGAUGAGACAAAAUUUAUAUAAAAUAUAAAUUAUUAGUAAUGGGCCACUGCUUUCUUCAAUUGAAUUAUGACACCAUGUCCAUAUAGUAAACAUAGUCAUGUGUCAUGAACUAUCUGAUUUGUGUAAAUAACCCUGCUUGGAAAAUGAGGAUUGCAUUCAACCUGUCUGAAUGUAAAAAUAAACACAGAAACUGCUGGCACACUCUUCAUCUCCAUCUUUGAAGGAUCUCAUUACUCAACUCUUUUGAUUUCCUCAUCAAUCCCAGGGGAAGUAUUUAGCUCUGUUGUGUUUAAAAUAAAAAAGUUACAUAUUUAAAGUUAUUUUUUGAAAUUACUUUUUAUUUUGUUUUAUUUUUAUAUUUUUUUGUUUAGAUGUUUACUAUUAAUCUGAAUCAUAGCUCCCUGUUGCCUCCCUGUCCUCCCCUCACACAUCUCUCUCCCUCUCCUGCCCCUAAAAUAGUGGAGGCCUUCCCUGCACAAACCCACUUCAGCACAGGCAGUCUCAUUAGGACUGUUUAUUUCCUCUCUUACAGUGUCCUGGUUACACAGCCAUGCCAGGGUGAAGUGAUCAAAAGUCAUGCAACAAAGACCUUGUCAGAGACAUCCCCCAUCCCUUUUCUGGGGCACACACAUGGAGGCUAAGCUGACUUUUGUGUAUAUACAUGUAGAGGGUCUAAGUCUAGUCCAAGUCAUGUUGGGACCAGGUUCUUUGGAGAUUUGAUGGCAAAAAACCAGCCAACUUAGGACCCAAUACUAGAGUCUACAAGUGGCUCCCCCAGAAUGAUCUUCUUGGACACCCCAAAACCAAAGCCUUCAUAACUCACGGUGGAGCCAAUGGCAUCUAUGAGGCGAU
This is an RNA transcript of Meriones unguiculatus (Mongolian gerbil), 4577 nucleotides long. It is a transcript of the gene named UDP-glucuronosyltransferase 2B17-like, with no coding region annotated. Lineage: Eukaryota; Metazoa; Chordata; Mammalia; Rodentia; Muridae. The transcript has 6 exons. The record is from RefSeq and is a predicted model, not a curated record.